This 471-nucleotide ribosomal RNA is filed under the name uncultured bacterium. RNAcentral describes it as "bacterial SSU rRNA". It matches the Rfam family "Bacterial small subunit ribosomal RNA", at positions 30 to 502 of the family's 1533-position model. The record is from RNAcentral.
AUUGAACGCUGGCGGCAGGCCUAACACAUGCAAGUCGAGCGGGGUUUUCGGACCUAGCGGCGGACGGGUGAGUAAUGCGUAGGAAGCUACCCGAUAGAGGGGGAUACCAGUUGGAAACGACUGUUAAUACCGCAUAAUGUCUACGGACCAAAGUGUGGGACCUUCGGGCCACAUGCUAUCGGAUGCGCCUACGUGGGAUUAGCUAGUUGGUGAGGUAAUGGCUCACCAAGGCGACGAUCUCUAGCUGGUUUGAGAGGAUGAUCAGCCACACUGGAACUGAGACACGGUCCAGACUCCUACGGGAGGCAGCAGUGGGGGAAUAUUGGACAAUGGGCGGCAAGCCUGAUCCAGCCAUGCCGCGUGUGUGAAGAAGGCCUUAGGGUUGUAAAGCACUUUCAGCGAGGAGGAAGGGGGUUGUAGUUAAUAGCUGCAAUCUUUGACGUUACUCGCAGAAGAAGCACCGGCCUAACU